GCCUUGUUAGCACAGUAGGUAGCACAUCAGUCUCAUAAUCUGAAGGUUAUGAGUUUGAUCCUUACACGGGACA
RNAcentral lists this transfer RNA (73 nucleotides) under Alosa alosa (allis shad). RNAcentral's name for it is "tRNA-OTHER". It matches the Rfam family "tRNA". From Rfam's summary of the family: Transfer RNA (tRNA) molecules are approximately 80 nucleotides in length. Their secondary structure includes four short double-helical elements and three loops (D, anti-codon, and T loops). The record is from RNAcentral. Lineage: Eukaryota; Metazoa; Chordata; Actinopteri; Clupeiformes; Clupeidae.